Molecule: transfer RNA, 65 nt
Filed under: Chondrodactylus fitzsimonsi
Lineage: Eukaryota; Metazoa; Chordata; Lepidosauria; Squamata; Gekkonidae
Description: tRNA-Trp
Source: RNAcentral
AGAAACUUAGGUUAACAAAACCAGGGACCUUCAAAGCCCCAGAUAGGACAAGUUCCUAGUUUCUG